Molecule: ribosomal RNA, 468 nt
Filed under: uncultured bacterium
Lineage: Bacteria
Description: partial 16S ribosomal RNA
Rfam family: Bacterial small subunit ribosomal RNA
Source: RNAcentral
GACGAACGCUGGCGGCGUGCUUAACACAUGCAAGUCGAACGGAAAGGCCCUGCUUUUGUGGGGUGCUCGAGUGGCGAACGGGUGAGUAACACGUGUGUAACCUGCCCUUGACUUUGGGAUAACUUCAGGAAACUGGGGCUAAUAUCGGAUAGGAGCUCCUGCUGCAUGGUGGGGGUUGGAAAGUUUCGGCGGUUGGGGAUGGACUCGCGGCUUAUCAGCUUGUUGGUGGGGUAGUGGCUUACCAAGGCUUUGACGGGUAGCCGGCCUGAGAGGGUGACCGGCCACAUUGGGACUGGGAUACGGCCCAGACUCCUACGGGAGGCAGCAGUGGGGAAUAUUGCACAAUGGGCGGAAGCCUGAUGCAGCAACGCCGCGUGCGGGAUGACGGCCUUCGGGUUGUAAACCGCUUUCGCCUGUGACGAAGCGUGAGUGACGGUAAUGGGUAAAGAAGCACCGGCUAACUACGUG